GAUGAACGCUGGCGGCGUGCCUAAUACAUGCAAGUCGAGCGAACAGACGAGGAGCUUGCUCCUCUGAUGUUAGCGGCGGACGGGUGAGUAACACGUGGAUAACCUACCUAUAAGACUGGGAUAACUUCGGGAAACCGGAGCUAAUACCGGAUAACAUGUUGAACCGCAUGGUUCAACAGUGAAAGACGGUCUUGCUGUCACUUAUAGAUGGAUCCGCGCCGCAUUAGCUAGUUGGUAAGGUAACGGCUUACCAAGGCAACGAUGCAUAGCCGACCUGAGAGGGUGAUCGGCCACACUGGAACUGAGACACGGUCCAGACUCCUACGGGAGGCAGCAGUAGGGAAUCUUCCGCAAUGGGCGAAAGCCUGACGGAGCAACGCCGCGUGAGUGAAGAAGGUCUUCGGAUCGUAAAACUCUGUUAUUAGGGAAGAACAAAUGUGUAAGUAACUAUGCACGUCUUGACGGUACCUAAUCAGAAAGCCACGGCUAACUACGUG
RNAcentral lists this ribosomal RNA (497 nucleotides) under uncultured bacterium. RNAcentral describes it as "partial 16S ribosomal RNA". It matches the Rfam family "Bacterial small subunit ribosomal RNA", at positions 28 to 507 of the family's 1533-position model. The record is from RNAcentral.